AGACAAGAUGGCAGCCCCGGCAGCGUGCACCUCUUUACUUCUAGCACCUGGGCCAGGAGAGAGGACUGUCUUUGCUACUUCUUACAAGAUGUUACUGAAGCUGUAAUCAACACGCCCUCAGAACGUAGGAAAUCAUGUUCACUCCCUUGAGGACGAAAGGUCUUUCCCCAAACUAGUUUGCAUUUUGGUUCAUAAAAUCGCCAUGGCUAAAUCUCUUACAAGAUUUGGUACGGAAGGGAGAGACAAGGCUUUAAAACAGUGUGAGCAUUUAGCAACAAGAGACAAAGCACCAUCACGGAGCAGAGAGCUGCCCUCACCAGACACCUGACCCUUCCCACACCUUGAGCUUGGACUGCACAGACUCUAGAAGUACAAAACAGGAACAAGUCAAGCACAGACUUCUAUCCCUUACACAGGAACCCAGCCUACACCCAAGCUUUAGGCCACCGGCCGGUCUUCCUAGCGAGCGGUCUUUCUUCCCCUCCCAAGGGACCACGUCAAGGCAAACCAAGGUAGAAAAAUCUCUUUUCUUUCCCAUCUUUCUCAUGUGCAUGACAAGAGAAAAUGAAGGUACGCCGAGGCCCACACGGGACCGUGGGUGGAUGGAGCUGCCCAUAAAUCUUCAUUCACGACUUAGCUGGAAGGGGAGAGGGGAUGCCACUGGAUCUACCAACACCAUCCAUUUCUUUUCUGGGAGAUUCAGGUCCCAGGCUAGCCU
Molecule: non-coding RNA, 718 nt
Organism: Peromyscus maniculatus bairdii (prairie deer mouse)
Lineage: Eukaryota; Metazoa; Chordata; Mammalia; Rodentia; Cricetidae
Source: RefSeq, a predicted model, not a curated record